GCCCCUAUGGUCAAGCGGUUAAGACGCCACCCUCUCACGGUGGAAUCAUGAGUUCGAGUCUCUUUAGGGGUACCA
RNAcentral lists this transfer RNA (75 nucleotides) under Clostridia bacterium. RNAcentral's name for it is "tRNA-Glu". It matches the Rfam family "tRNA". From Rfam's summary of the family: Transfer RNA (tRNA) molecules are approximately 80 nucleotides in length. Their secondary structure includes four short double-helical elements and three loops (D, anti-codon, and T loops). Lineage: Bacteria; Bacillati; Bacillota; Clostridia. The record is from RNAcentral.